Molecule: ribosomal RNA, 253 nt
Filed under: uncultured bacterium
Lineage: Bacteria
Description: partial 16S ribosomal RNA
Rfam family: Bacterial small subunit ribosomal RNA
Source: RNAcentral
UACGUAGGGGGCAAGCGUUGUCCGGAAUCAUUGGGCGUAAAGAGCGUGUAGGCGGCCAGAUAAGUCCGCUGUGAAAUCUCGAGGCUCAACUUCGAGCUGUCGGUGGAAACUGUCUGGCUAGAGUCCGGAAGAGGAGAAUGGAAUUCCUGGUGUAGCGGUGAAAUGCGCAGAUAUCAGGAAGAACACCCGUGGCGAAGGCGGUUCUCUGGACCGAGACUGACGCUGAGGCGCGAAAGCGUGGGGAGCAAACAGG